AAGGCGAGGGAGGGGAGCGCCGCGCAGCGCGGGUGGGCGCCUGGAGCAGCCCGGUGCCCGCGGGCUGGGCGCGGAGCCGAGUGGGGCUCCCCCCGCCGGCCGCUGUGCCGCGACGAGGCGGCGCUCGCAUCCCGGAGGGGCCCGGCCUCGACCAGGAAGUACACUCGUGUACGCCGUGUUGGCACAGCCACACUGCCCACGUCGUCUGGUGCUGCCGUGCUGUCAAGGUCUGUGUGUUGACAGGCACCGUCCUGGCUUCCUUCCACAAUCACGCUGAUCCACAAGAGCAUGGUAUCGGGGGACACUGUCAUCGUACCUGGAACGCUGGAAGAACCCGCACUGAGGCCAAGAAAAAAAAAAGACAAGGUUAGGUUUAAGUUGCCGUGAAAGUACUACAACGAAAUUCUUCUUUUGCAGAGACUUACAGUUUUGGCCACAGUGGUACAGAGGUGAUGACUAGGAGAAGACACUUGACAUGACGUGCUUAUGGGUCGCAGAAGUCAAGAUUAAAGGUAAGAGACAUUGUGUCAUCUGGCUGUCAUUACAUAUUACUAGAAAAAAGAAAGUGGCAACAUUUUGUUCAUAGUAUUUGAGGUGGUAGAAUCUCGGGUUUAUUGUUGUGUUGUUUUUUUUUUUCAAAUCUAUUAUAAUUUAAGUAGGUAUAUAUUAAAAAAUAAAUUGAGGCAUAGACCAAAUUUUUUGGCCAUCUCUUAGAGAAGAUUUCAUACACACAGUUUUGAUAGAUUUUGGUUAAGAAUUCCUCCCCAAUCCCUCAUGUCAAAGCAUCUUUAAUUAGUAUCCUGUACAUGCAUGUAUUCUCUUAAGUUGAGUGCAGGUUGCUAGAAGCAUAAAUGGUCAUGCAUCGUAGUAGCUUCAGCGAAGAAAAGUUUCUACCUAGAAAAGUAUGGUGUAGAAUAGAAGGAAAAAAGGUGGUUCCACAACAAUUAACUUUUCUUUAUGAAAACCCCUUUCAUUAAUGAGCAAUGUGUAUUUUUAAGCAUGCGCUAAAGGUUAAUAAAGCAAGUUUAUCUUCCACAUACUUUAGCUUUAAGUAUUAACUCUGCAGUGUUGAUUACCACCUCUAAAGCUUAAAAACUAACUUGUACUGUUAAAACAUCAAUUCAAAAAAAGACUAAAAUCCAUUGCAACAGAUGUUUUCUAAAGGUGUUUUUUUCGACCAAGGUAAACACCUGUGUUUAUGUGUACCAAAAGGUGAAUAUCUAUUAAUAGAAUGAGCAAGCAAGUACUGAUAGUCCGUAAUCCAAAAGUUAACAGAACAUUAGCAGCAAAAGCUUCAUCGUUAGCCACUGCAACCAUAGCAUGUGCCACCACAGCUAAAAAUUAAAUAUCAUUGAUUACCAAUUAUAGGAGUAGACCAAUACUACGCAUCAGAAGUAAGCCUCUCUUUAUCAGAUGGCUGAGCAUGGAUCUCAGCCUUGUGAUAUGUGGCAUCGUAAUGAUCUUUCUUAUUUCUCUUGAAGAAACCACACUACAAGGAAGCAAGGUAUUUAGUCAUUUUUUUGUGGACUGGAAAAAGUUAAAACUAUUAGAACUGACUUGAGUAACUGAUCUAUCUUUUCAUAAUCUCUUCAUGGGAUUGUUAUCUGAAAAGAAUCGAGAGAACUCUUAGCUGUAUCUAGAUUUGAGAACUCUGGGACUAACUUAAUCUGUAAAAUAGUAUAAUCUGGGAUAAGGAAUAUUAUUUUGAUAAAUUUUUAAUACAUCAUUUUUUCAAGAAAAGCUACUCUACCGUGUAUUUGUAGCAACUAAAACUGUCUGUGAAGAGCAGUAAGAUAUCUAUAUGGAAACCAGUUUAUGGACUACUGCACAGGGUAAAUAAAGAACAAAAAUAUGAGUUACUGAUUUUACCUGUACAACACAAGCAUUUGUCUUAUACCCAGUCAUGCAAUUGUCUAUGAUGUGCCAUGUUUGUCCUUCAUAAGACAGCUCAGUGUCUGUCAUUGAAAGAAGCAUUUCACACUGUGUGUGAAUGCAUGCAUUUUCAUGUGCAGUAGAAAACUAAUAUGUGUAACCUAACAGCCCACGCAAGGCCUUAAUUGUAAUUCAUUAGGAAGAUUUGCAGCAGAGGCUGGGCAUUUUUUGGAAAGAAGGAAGUCAAGCAUCCUUUGAGAAGUAAUCUGUAGCAAACAGUAAGUCUUCAACAAAGCCACAACUGCUCCAGUGACAGAAAGGAUAUCCCUUUUCACCUAUUCUUUUGUAGUAAGAUUCUCCUAUCCCAUAGCAACAUUAACUGCCUACAACAGUAAAUAGUAAGAAUAAAAGAACUACUCUGUUAUACUUGGAACCAUAUUUUAACUUUUAGUUUUAAAUAUUUAUUCCUUAAGGGUUUCUCAGAUAAAUAGCCAAUACUGAAGAAAUUGAACAAUAUAUUUGCUUAUGUGCUACUUUUGCACAUUCUGGUUAUUUUCAUCUACUAUGUCUUUAAUGGUAUUUCUAAUGUUAUGAGAACAAAGCCCUGUUAAAAUACUGAUAGAGAGUUCAGUUUUAAACCUAACCACAGAAGCCUCACUUAUUAUCCAUCCAUAUCAAUGUAUCUAUAGUCUCUGGCCACCUUAUGAAGCUUUGUCUAGACCUCAAAAAAACCUCCUUUCAAGGAUCUGGAUACAGAAAAAAAUCCUAUCAACUAUAGCAACAAGUCUUCUCUUAUGACCACUUUUAUUCCAAAUGUUACUAAACUGAUAAAAGUAGUGUACAGUUUAGGCCAUUUUGCUGUCUUUUGGGUCCUAAAUGCAAAGCAAAAAUACUUGUUUGCUUAAUUAAUUUGCUACCUUGUCAUCUGUACAGCAGGACAUGUUAAAUAACCAGGCAACUAAAAACUUACCUUCCAUAGCAGGAAUACCAGCAGUGCAAGCAUCAGUAUUCCAGCAAAAAUAGCCACCACAAUGAUCCACCAAGGCACUCCUGUAUAAAGUGCUACUGGUUUUGCAGGAAAGACAGUGACACGCACCUAAAGGAAAGAAAGUAGGUGAAGAUGAGCAUUUCAAAAUCAUCGAAAUUUAAGAUAAAGCUGCAAUUUAUAGUUUUAUUUUCUUUUUCUGACAAGAUGUCUUCUCUCAUUUGCAAAAUGCUUUUGGAAAAAAAAAUCAUAUUGGUAUCAUUUCAAUAUGGUAGUGAAUUUUGCCAACAUAAUUAAAUGUGAAAAGGUUUGUUAAUUCAAAAUUCAAUUAGAAAUCUAAUCUAUUAGGUAGAUUUGUUUUAAAAUGGUUUAUUUUUUUUCCAGUCUUUGAGAUACGUUCGUUAUGUUUGCAGCUUAACCUAUGGCUAGCAUUAAAUGUUGAACCUACCUGAGCAAUUUCAUUUGUGAGUUUAACAUUCUUAGCUGCAGCAGGAACACUGAUUGAGGCUCUAACAAGAAUGUCUAGGUAGUUCAUUUUGGAGUAUUCCUGUUCCAAAAUAAAGUACAAUUAGACAUACAACAGGAAAGAACUCUAGAAUCUUUCAAAAAUGGCAGGUAAGAGGACUUACUUCUACAAAAGUACUGUUCCAGAGUCUGGAACGCAGCAAAAUAGAUGCCUUGCUGUCAAAACCCUUCAGGGGACAUUUUAUGUCCACACAUCGUGCAUUCACAUUGCAGUCCUGCAGUUAAAAAUUUCUACGUGUAAGUAAAAACAUCUUCACAAAUUGUUAAACUGUCACCUUCUCCACCAAGAUUUAAAAUUGGAUUAUAUACAUUUUAUUUAUGUACAAGAUCCAAAAUCUGUUUGUACCAACAGCAAUACGAAAGUAAUCACAUUUCCACAUAGAUAGCCCUGCAGAAAUUCUUUCCUAGUUCCAUCUCCAUCAGUAGAUAAUACAGAAGGACAAAUUCUAAAAGUAUUAAUACUUGGUUUAGGAUAGAAACAAACUGGAGAUAGUUUCUUUCACCCUGCCAAACUCCAAAGGCCCUGUUAGGCGUGAAGCAGAAGGUAUCAAACAAGACUGUAGUUAAUGCAGUGUGCUUACCAAGGUCUUAUAUUUUCUUUCUGAGAAUAAAGAAAAUGCUUUGCUGUCUGUAAUCUGCUUCUCUGCCACCUCACGCUUUCUCCUGGAGUUAUGGGAUUCCUUGGAGAAAAAAAAGUUUUACUAUGUUAUCAUAUGUUUGUCUUGAUUCUGUUCCCCAUACAGGCAUAAACAAAGAGUCUGAUUUUUUUUUGUUUCAAGAUCAGCACAAGUGACUUCACUAUAUAAACCCUAUUUACAUAUACUCAUUGCUAACAACAGAAUCACAAAAAAUUGAUAUUAACCAAGAAAAGGUUAACUGCCUUCUUUGACAGGUCAAUGGGUUUUUAGACUUAUAAAGCUUUUAAUGUUGUUUCCAUUUUUGUUCUCUCUCUAUAUAUGGUAUUAAUGUUACUGUGCUAAUACAGUAAGAUGGUCAGUAUGAUGCAUUUAACUGCAUAUUAAUUACUUACUAGAAGUUUUAUUAACUUAUAUAGUGAUCAAGAAACUGACAAAAUGUGUUUACAUGUAUGCAGUUCAAUGGUGAAAAUUACAACUUCUCCCAAGUGACCUUGAGGUUAUAUGAGAAACAAUGAAAAUAGGACUCGAGGUUUAGAAAAAACCUUGCUAGGUAGACAUAAAGGACUAUGAAACUCUUGCUUCAGAAAUUGCUUUCAGCGUAUUUCUUGUAAGCAAUUAAAUGUAUUUACAAGCUCUUUCUCUUUCAAAAGAGUACAUGGAUUUCCCUUGGGUUGGGGAGAUGUUUGCUGUCUUUUUUCCAUGCAAGAACAGACUUCAAUAAUGUUGAUGAUGUGUUAAAGCUAACAGUACUUUCAGCCUGCAAAAGCAUAUGAAAGCAGUGCCCACUGCAGCUACAGUCACCAUGAGACAGCAGCUGUUCUGUAGCUUACCUGUAGCUGUUACAUGAAAUUGCCUCAUAAGGUUAAGAACGCAUUGUUUGUGCUUUUGACCAUCUCAAGAAAAAAAAAAAAAUUGUUCUGGAGGCAAGUUCUUACACCUUACUAUCACAAGCUAUGGUGCUUUAAUAUUGUACUUACUAGUGACCAGGAGAAGGUAGGGUAACUUACCGCAAGAUGCAAAGAAUUGAUUUCAUUCUGUGGUUGACAGGAGACUUUUUCCAAGUCUUUGGAAUCUAUUUUCAUCAAAUACAGCAGCCAUUUGCCAUUACUAAUUUCUUUUGGCCACUGGAUGUCCAGGGAAGCUGUACCAAAUGUUUUCAGUGGCCUGCCCAAGUUAGUUACCUGUUAAAAUAAACAUUAUUUCAAUUUUGUUUUAAAGGGGUUUUCUGUUUGAAAAUCAAUCACAGUUACUGACUUUGACGACUUCUAAGCAUGCAGUUAACAGGACAUUUAAAAGCCACUGAAAGACAGUUGAAACAGAACAUAAUGACAAAAGCAUAUAGUAAAACUAGCACACUUGAGUAGUAACUAAUUCUGAGCUUGAUUAUAGUAAGAUUAUAAUUCCCUAACAUUAACUUUAAGCUAUUGAUGUCUGUCUUCAUGUAAAACAACAACAACCACCCUUUAUUUUGAGAACUAAGAAAUCAUUUUAGUUACGUUACUGAGGCAAACUGAAAGUUGGAGGAACUCUGACACAGAAAGACAACCAACUCCCACUGAAAUAGUUUGGGAAUUGUUUCCCAACUUUUUUUUUCUUUCUUAGUGUUACUGCUUAUGAUAGCAAGUUAUAAAACAGAUUUUCUAACAGCUUCAACAUUAAUCCUGUAGUUAAAUACACAGGUAGAGAAGUAAAUGAAGGAUUUGACAUAGAUGGAUUUCCAGACAAUAAUCCUAACGACACAUAAAUACAGAAGGGCUUGAAUUAAUGAAAAAGCAAUCCGCUUCCAGACACACACAGAUUUCACAGAAUCAGAAUACUUUCACUUCCCCUUCUCCUCAACUUAUUAAUUAGGCAGAAGACUAAAAGGGUGAACUUAGGCUCAUGUGUUCAAAAUGGCUCCUGCAGUGUCUUCUUGUGCGUGUUCAAUCCUGCAUGCCGUAAGUACACAUAUUUGCUGUUUGCCUGCAUCAGCCAACAGCUGGUCAUGUGCAGUUAGACUUCUGGGUUUAAGUUUCCCACCUGUACGGAGUUUAUGCUGUAUACCGGAAUGCACGUGAACUGCUCUACAAGGAUGUAUACAUCCAGCCUCAUUCUGAACAGGAAGUCAGGAUUGUAGGACUAGAUCCAGCAACUUUUUCAAGUACUCAGACACAUAAAAGGAGAAGCUGUUCCUUCGAUUAAAAUAGCUAUUAGAAUUAAUUAAAUUACUCACUCUGAAUUCAUAUUCUAUGAGGCUUCCAAUGUCAUCUUCAGAUUUCAUAGCGCUCUCACCAAUGACGUUACCUCCAAAAUAUACCUGAGAAGGUUUAGCCACUCUGUUCAGGUGGGGGGGUGGAGAAAGGAGAAUAAUCAGAUUUUAAUGAAGUCUGCAGCAAAGGUGCUCUGACCCCCAAUCUGGUCUACCAACACUUACCCAGUAAGUGAUAAAAACAAUUCAAGAACCACUUUAGCACUUGCUGUAAUUGUAGUCAAAUUAGCCUGAGUGCUUGUUCUGAAAAAAAAAAAAAAAAAAAAAAAAAAAAAGCACUGUUGAUUUUAUCAAUUUAGCGGUUUUCACUUUACUAUUAAACUGCUUUUAUGUAUCAGAUCAAAUAAUUAAAAAUAUUUUUAACUGUAUGUAAAAACAGCACACAUGCAUACGCACAAAAAAAGAAAACUUACGUUUCCAGCCUCAGAUUAAUGUCUAAGUCUGUCGUAUCAACAUUAACUUUAGUGGUACUUAAGAUCAGAUAAAAUGUUACCUAGACAGGAAAGAACAUCCACAAAUAUGUAAAUAUUUUAUGGAAGAUAAUGAUAUAUGGAAUAUUAUAGCAACACACCAUCAAAUUCUGAAGUUAAAAAGACAUGCAAAUCAAAUUUCUAGUUAUGACACAGAAACUUUGGAAGACUGUAGUCAGUAAUCAAAUUAUGUAAUGUGAGAAAAAUAGGUGCAACUUACAUUGGAGUUUCUCUUGAAAGGAUUUCCAAGUUCACACUCUGCUUGAGAACCAUUUUGGUUAGCACCACAUGUUAGCUGUUUUUCCUGAAUAAGUAGAGUAUAUUUAUAAGAAAACAUACGCCCAAAGUGUUUAAAAAUUUGAGUAUCCUUUCUGUUAAAAAAUACUCACUGGAUAUCCCCUCAUCUCCCUGAAUGCGGAAUAGGUCAGACUGUCUGGAAAAGUUGCAAUUAGUUUAGCUUCAUAUGCAUCUUCACCGUCUUUUUGUGGAUUUUUUGCAUCAGAUGGAUUAUUAGUCACAGUUAUUUCCAGUGCAAUAUCUUUCUGAUCUUUCAGAACAAGCACUGGCAUGCCCUUUUCACUGCAGAAACAGAAUAUACAGGAUUCUGUGCAUUAGGAAAACAAAUGUGUUUGAAAGUUUGUUUCUUACUGUGGUUUUACCCAAAUAUAAUUCCCUCUAUUAAUGAAGAAUUACUGCAAGAGCAUAAACACAAGAAUGGUCAUAAUUUUUUGUGGCACACACACUGCUAAAGGCUGACUGUUCACAGUAAGUAAACAUACUUCCUUUAGGCUUUUUUGUUUUGUUUUUAUACCUUCUUUCUAGUAUCAUUCAGCCCUCCAGUGAGGAAGGAUGCUAUGGGAUAUAGGGGGCCUGUCACGGUGUAACAAUUUCUCCAUUUACUUCUCUGUGAGUGAUUGUCUUAAGCUACUGGAAUGUAGUACAUCACAUUGUCAUACAAUGAAAUUUCAUCUCAAAAACAAUUAACAGUACCAUACAAGAAACUGCUGCUAGGUUGCUUAUCAUUUCUCCAGUGGUUAGUAACCUUAUUUUACAUUUUAGCCUAAAUCUGCACACAGUUAUAGCCACUUUACAUCCAUCUGACUCUGUACCACAACUCUUCUUCUAAAGCUCAUCCUACUCCCCCAUGUUUGUCACCUUGACAGAUCAGUAGUACACAGGACUGUGUUUGCCAGACCAACAGAACAAAACUGUUCUAACUCCCAAAAUAGAAUAUAAAAGGUAUUUUUUUCAGUGCUUGUCAAUAAUUUGAAUUUUAGCAAUGCAUUAAUCAAGACUUACAUUGGUAAAUAGGUAAACCUGUCUUCAUUUCCUUCUCUAGUGCAAAACCGGUAUUGAAGGUUCAGGUUGCUGUGACAUUUAUUGUCUUCUCCACAUCCUUCUUUUAAGAACUCCACCUAGAUAAAACCAAAGCAUGUUUAUUGCAUGCCACAUGAUACUAACUUAAAACAAGCUUUCUGAUGUGCAGUGCAUAAAGCAUCUACAGGGAACUCAAGAAGUUCCUUGGAUAAAGUAAGAUUUUAACUUGACUCUACUUCUUACCUGUCAAGAUCUGUUUUUCUUUGUGGGCCCUAGCCCUUGAUGCUGAUAAAUUAAGAUUUUAUAUGUAACUAAAGGGCAGAAUUACAUAAAACUUGAUGCUUUACCCUUCUAAAAGAGAAGUACACUCCUAAUGUGGAAAAACAUCCUUAAAUCUGAUUCUUCAACAAGCACUGAGGAAAUAAGAUCUUCUACUCGAGGUAGGUCAUUGAGAUGGAGAGCUCUAAUACUGCUACUAGCAUCCUAACCAUGGAAGAAUUAGACUGCACAUUAUUUGUGAUGUGGGUAAGUGUGCACAGGAGAUGACAGAUUACCGUUUUUAUUCAAAAGUGUUUCCUCCUAUAUGUGUUGGUGAGGAAAAACAAAUAACAGCUAUAUCAUCCUCACCUUUUUACAGAAAAAACACAGGAUCAAAUUCAGAACAUUUUCUAAAAAGUUCUUGACAAAAGUACAAAAUAUAAGCCAGUAGUUACAAAUCCAGAGCCACACAAGUUAUUUCCGUAAAGUUCAAUGACUUAUCAAAGUACAAAUUUCUAAGAAAAUAUGCUAUUGAAGGCUUACUUUUGCGAUUGUUGUUUUAGGUUCAUUUGAAUCUAGAAUUGGUAUAAGGUCUGGAAGUGCUUUCUCUUUUCUUGUGGAUGAUGAGCUAGACUCUACGCCAGCAAUUUCAACACUGACUGAUACAGGAAUUGGGCGUAGCUUAUCUUUUACUACAUCCUGUCAAAACAUUUUAAACAGCAUAGUUAGCAUACAGUGCAGAUGAGAAAAAACACUUAAAGAUCAACUUUUGAUAUACAUUUUCAAACAAGAAGUAAAGCAACAUCUCCUUUGCACCAUUUUUCCAAUAUUAAAACUAUUCAUUAUUUAGAAACCCAUCAUUUUCUAAAAACAUGCAAGAACACAAGGAAUCCUAGCCCUACUGUCUUCAUUUUUUUCUGGCUUCCUGAUCUGACGGUUUCACUCAGAGUUAAGAAUUAUUAGGAAUAACAAAUGUUAACUCUGGCAAAUGAAACUCACACUACAACAGUAAAAUAACACUUUCUCUCUGUUGUGUAGAUGCAAGGUUUUUAAUUUCCUAUGGUCAAAAAGCAAUAUUGUAGGCUUAUUACUCCUGAGCCACAGAUAGAGAAUUUGUUCAGCUGUUGGAGUAAUGUCACUUUUAGAGGCCAUUACAGCAGUAAACUAAGAUUGCAUACCAAGCGUUCUUGUCAUGCCCAUUCAUCCUGUCCAAAACCCGUGGCCUGAAAUUCUUUUCCUAGCCAGUCACACUAUUAAAUUCUACAACCGGUACUACUGUGUUUUCUAACAACUCUCAGUUUCUGGCAUUUGUUCCCUCUUUAUUGUUCUAAAUUGUUUCAGCUCUAUUGAUCUCCAGAGAACACUGCAGUGUCUACAACUUUUAUUUAUGUUUUAAAAUAAAGGCAAUGGGAAGAAGCAACACAUGUACAGGGAAUAGUAAAGUACUACUUAGCUAUGGUUUUCUAGUGUUGAAGCCUUACAUUGCACAUGAUUUUUAGGUUGCAUACGAAGGUACCACAAGGCUGAAAGAGCAACAUACUUUUAUUUAAAUGGGUCUAAAAGAAAAAGCGAAUACUGUGCCUUACCUGCAGUACAAGCUUGGUUGUCACACACUUUUUAGAGUUCUGCCCAUUUAGGGUUGUACUUGCAUUGAACGUAUCAGACUGAUGGUCUUUAAACAGCACCCUAGAAAGCAUGUUUAAUUGCUUCCUCUCCUUUUCUGCUUCAAAUGUAUAGUUGAUCUCUAUAUGAAGAAAUAGUUUGCUAUUAAGAAGGACCUUUGCCAUAUUAAAAAAAAAAAUGGUUUAAUAAAGUCAUAGAACAGGGUGGGUUGAAAGGAACCCUAGAUAUCAUCUAGUUCCACCCCCAUCCCCUUCCAUGGGCAGGUAUGCUACCCACCAAAUCAGGUUGCCCAGGGCCUCAUUCCACCCUGGUGGUCUGGAACACCUCCAGGGAUGGAGCAUCCACAGCUUCUCCAGGCAGCCUGUUCCAGUACGUCACCACCCUCUGAGCGACGAAGUUCCUCCUAACAUCUGAUCUAAAUCUCCCCUCUUUUAGGUGAAAAACAUUUCCCCUUGUCCUAUCACUAACUGCCCACAUAAUUUCUCCAGGUAUGAUCUUACCAGCAGCAUUCUAGAAGACUUGUUACCCUCUGCUGAAUUUUACUAAUGUUUUCAGUUAUUUAAAAAACUUUCUCCACCUGCAUGUUUUGUUCCUCUCCAGUUGAGGGCCAGAUACCCUGUACAGGUCAUGUAUCUAAAGGAAACUUCCAAAGUGCUUUUAGUCAAUAAAUUCCUGUUGCUUUACUAAAAUUCAGUGCUGACUAAAGCAGCUGUAAUUGGUGUUGUAGAGCCAGUAGAGGGCUGAGAUUAAAAAAUAAAUAAAUAAAUUCAUAAAUACUCUGACUUGAUUCCUUCAUUUCUAUCUUGUCCCAAACUGCACCUAAGCAGCCAAGCAGACUUUUGAGGUCAAGGUACAUUGUUAUUUUCACACAGAAAGCAAUAGCCUAUAGCUUUCUAGCUAUGUCUGCUAAGGCAGGGAAUACCAUGUUUUUUGAUAGAUCUGAACUCUGUGCAUCUUUUAAACAUCUCUGUAUUCACCAAGCUAAUGUUGUGUUCCAAGGCUGGGAAUAGCACUGAGCAUGCCAGGCCUCAGGAAUGUGCAGAGGUGCAGGUCCAAGACCCUGUUGAAGCACAUCCUAUAGAUUUUACAAGUAAUUCAGAAUCUCAAACAACACAAGAGGAAAAAGAGGUGUGGGCUUAGAAUUCUUCUCAUUUCCUCUUGAGAUCCUACAGUUUUCUGAAGUGUAUUAACAGCAGCAUUGUAACAACUUAGACAAAAAACGGGAGACAUCAGAAACUGAUGCUUUGCAUUUUUACCAAUAUUUAUGACACAAUCUUCCAGCCUCCUAUUAAUACAGAGAUCUACUAUGUCAGUUGCUGAUUUCCACUAAGUUAUAUGCAUGAAUAUAAAACACUUUUUGUAAGUGCAAGUCCCCAAUAGGAAAUAAUGCUUAUUAAUGACAUAUAAAUUGCGCUUUAGAACUAUUUUCCAAAGCAGGAGCAGCCUGGAGAGGCAAAAUGGUUUUAGUCUGUAUGGCAGCCAUUUGCUCACUGGCAGUUAUGUGACCUAGAAAACUUCAAGUGAGUCUUUUACCCACAGAACUUCCUAACACACCAGAAUUUCUUUAUAUGACCCUAUGUGCUACUCUACAUACAGAUACCACAAUAACUAAUUGUCCUUAGUACUGAGUUGCGUUUUAAACCUGACAGUUUGAGAUGAGUCGCUAUAAUUUAGGUACUAUUCUUCCAAGAUACUCUCAAAAUUUAAUUUUUAUAUAUAUAUAAAACAAAGAUUAAAACAUACUAUCUUCAAAACUUACUUAUUCGUGGAUUUAAAUUACUGGGGUUUGCAGUAUAAUGAAAACAUGCUUCCACAUCCAUCCUGUAAAAAGUGCCAAGAAAUUAAAAUUAACUUUAAUAAGGCACGGUCCAACAGACUGAAAAGUUUUAAUAGUCCACUGAAUGAUAUCAUCACAGCUUAUGACUGUGGUUUUCACACUAGAACUGUCAUUUGCUGCUUACUAAACUGAAUUACAAAGCAAGGAAAGAUGUUUAAUGAGCAAUUAGUAAUGAUAUUUUCUGACACUUGCUUUUACAUCUCUACUCAUGAGAAAUCAGUUCUAGGUAAGAUAUUUUAAGAUACCUGAAGUCCUAAGUGGCAAAGUGACAUUAAUUUUUCAAAAACAUGCAUUGUAAACAGAAUGUAUUCCACAUGAAGUCUUUAGCACUAGUCACAACAAAUUCAGGAAGUCAAAAUGACCACAUGUAGAUACAUUUGCUUCAUCUGCACAACUGUCAUAUCCCCUCACCUUAAUAUAGUCACUGUUUUGUGAUACAUUUUGACAACAGAAAGCUCAAUACACCAAUGUUCCCGAUAGAAUAAUAGAAUAAUUUUUAAAUUACCAUAUUUCACCAGGGUCCUCAGAGUUCCUUUUAUUUAGAUCAAGUUUGUCAGGAUGUACUGUAAUGCUUUUCUUAAUGCUUAUGACAGGCCGAGAUCUUUAUUUGGGGGAAAAAUGGGGAAAGAAAAUAAAGGUCAAAAAAAAAGUUUCAGUUAAGAUUAAUGAAAUAAUUCAUGUGAAUCCGAGAUGCCCCCUAUUCCUGCACUAAUUUGCAGCAAAGACAAGAAACAUGGGUUUUAGGUUUUGCAGUAGUAAAAAAAAAAAAAAAAAAAAAAAAAAA
Molecule: long non-coding RNA, 12557 nt
Organism: Anas platyrhynchos (mallard)
Lineage: Eukaryota; Metazoa; Chordata; Aves; Anseriformes; Anatidae
Source: RefSeq, a predicted model, not a curated record